GACGUCGAUAUUCGACGUCAUAAACAGUAUCAAGUUUGGUGUUUAUGACGUCGAUUUACGACGUCAUGAACACCAUCAAGUUUGGUGUUUAUGACGUCGAUCUACGACGUCAUAAACACCAUUAAGUUUGGUGUUUAUGACGUCGACAUACGACGUCAUAAACACCGUCAAGUUUGGUGUUUAUGACGUCGAUAGUCGACGUC
Molecule: microRNA precursor, 203 nt
Filed under: Paramuricea clavata
Lineage: Eukaryota; Metazoa; Cnidaria; Anthozoa; Malacalcyonacea; Plexauridae
Source: RNAcentral